GGUCCGGGAAAGCGGGACUCGUUCCCACCCUCACCUCCGAGCGUUGCGGGUGCGUUCUGGGACCCCGGAGUCCUUGACCCCGGUUUAGGGCAAGCCUGCCCCAUCCCAAAGAAGGUCCCUGGACUCUGGGUACAGGGAAUUGGAGAAGAUGGGCGAAGUCCUACAGAUCCCCCGUUACCUGAUUUCGCAGGAGACUCUCCGCCUCCAGGCUCUUUCAGGGUUCGGGCCUCUGCUGCUGUGGUCUUGAGCAGAACGGAUGUGGUCCCCGACCUUAUGAAGCACAGAGCCCAGGGAACGCGACAGACUCCCGAGUCCCCCUGAUUCUCUGCUCACCCCUCUGCGCAGAAGUUGUCAGGGAAACAGGCAAAAGCACAAAUGCUCACUCUGGACUGAAUUGCAAAUCUCACACCUUUCUUCUUGCCCAAAGCCUGACAAAGCAACCUGAAAUUCCAAACCUGCUGACCCUGGACAAGAAGAUCACCUCUUUCCCACUGACAGACAAAUGAGGGUUGCCCCAGGUUGACUCUCUGAGACAGAGGAGACAUCCCGUCUGCCAAACGCCUCCAGGUGAACCAGACUUAGCCUUACUGAACUGUGAGCCCCGUGAAGACAGGGAGCUGUUUGGCUUGUCCGCUGUGGCAACCCCAUUUCCAGCCCAGCCCAGAGAAGGCCCAGUGGAGCUGUUGUGUGCAUGCGUCUGCCAAACAGAGCCCUCCUCCCCAAGGAGGGAAAUGGGCCUUCUGCUGGAGCGAGUCAUCACGCCCCCGGUUUAGAGCGCCAUUCCCUUUGGCCCUCUUUGGUGCCGUCUCGGGGUUCAAAGUGACUGGCGCAGCCUGCAUGGGGAGACAGGAAACAGCCGUCAGAAGUCGGAAGGCCACGUAUGCCUCUUGGGCUGGAACCAGCCGUGCCCGUUGGUCCAGUGAGGCUCCAAUGAACGUCGAGGAAGAUCCAGCCAGCAGCCAAACUGCUUUCCUGGUUUGAUAUUUGGGGCCUUUUUUCUUGUCCUGCAACGCAGAUGGACAGAGCCUCCUUUGUUUCCUAGAGGGUCUGGUUACUUUUGGGGAAAGUCUCAAUUGGCCAUUGUAGAAGCUGGUCAACGCCCCUGUGUUCACGGCCGAGGACAGCCUGUCACUCUGACCUGCCGGGCCUGAAAUCAACUGGGUCAAAGACGUGGGAGGGGGCGGGGAGGGUGGG
Ailuropoda melanoleuca (giant panda) is the source of this 1194-nucleotide long non-coding RNA. RefSeq lists it as uncharacterized. The transcript is spliced from 3 exons. The record is from RefSeq and is a predicted model, not a curated record. Lineage: Eukaryota; Metazoa; Chordata; Mammalia; Carnivora; Ursidae.